UACGGAGGGUGCGAGCGUUGUCCGGAAUCAUUGGGCGUAAAGGGCGCGUAGGUGGCCUGCUAAGCGUGCGGUGAAAGUCGGGGGCUCAACCCCCGAUCGGCCGUGCGAACUGGGAGGCUUGAGCACUGUAGAGGCAGGCGGAAUUCCGGGUGUAGCGGUGGAAUGCGUAGAUAUCAGGAGGAACACCGGUGGCGAAGGCGGUUCUCUGGGCCUUACCUGACGCUGAGGAGCGAAAGCGUGGGGAGCAAACAGG
RNAcentral lists this ribosomal RNA (253 nucleotides) under uncultured bacterium. RNAcentral's name for it is "partial 16S ribosomal RNA". It matches the Rfam family "Bacterial small subunit ribosomal RNA", at positions 524 to 776 of the family's 1533-position model. The record is from RNAcentral.